UACGUAGGUGGCAAGCGUUGUCCGGAAUUAUUGGGCGUAAAGCGCGCGCAGGCGGCCUCUUAAGUCUGAUGUGAAAGCCCCCGGCUCAACCGGGGAGGGCCAUUGGAAACUGGGAGGCUUGAGUAUAGGAGAGAAGAGUGGAAUUCCACGUGUAGCGGUGAAAUGGCGUAGAGAUGUGGAGGAACACCAGUGGCGAAGGCGACUCUUUGGCCUAUAACUGACGCUGAGGCGCGAAAGCGUGGGGAGCAAACAGG
This 254-nucleotide ribosomal RNA is filed under the name uncultured bacterium. Its description in RNAcentral is "partial 16S ribosomal RNA". It matches the Rfam family "Bacterial small subunit ribosomal RNA", at positions 524 to 776 of the family's 1533-position model. The record is from RNAcentral.